AACUGAAGAGUUUGAUCAUGGCUCAGAUUGAACGCUGGCGGCAGGCUUAACACAUGCAAGUCGAGCGGGGGAAGGUAGCUUGCUACUGGACCUAGCGGCGGACGGGUGAGUAAUGCUUAGGAAUCUGCCUAUUAGUGGGGGACAACAUCUCGAAAGGGAUGCUAAUACCGCAUACGUCCUACGGGAGAAAGCAGGGGAUCUUCGGACCUUGCGCUAAUAGAUGAGCCUAAGUCGGAU
This 237-nucleotide ribosomal RNA is filed under the name Acinetobacter baumannii. RNAcentral describes it as "partial 16S ribosomal RNA". It matches the Rfam family "Bacterial small subunit ribosomal RNA", at positions 1 to 241 of the family's 1533-position model. Lineage: Bacteria; Pseudomonadati; Pseudomonadota; Gammaproteobacteria; Moraxellales; Moraxellaceae. The record is from RNAcentral.